UGGGUUGUAGCUACCAUCAUGGCAUCAUCACCGGCCAGCUGUUUCUUCUCUGUUGCUUUACUUGCACGGUUGCAACACCAAUCCCUUCAGCUUUCACUUUCGGCCCCUAUGACGCUCUCCUACUCCAAGCAAGAGGUCGGUCAAGGUUCGUGCCCGUUAAAAGCAGACAGGAAGGAAGAAGGCUCCGCCUCAUCAAGGUAAGCUCCACUCCCUUCAACUCUUCGUCCUCUUUUCCCCACUGGGAUUUCUGCCUUCUUCACCUCUUCAUCCUCUUCUCUCUGUUGGGAUUUCUUCGUCUUUAUUCAGUCAGGGAGGUACACCUGAGCCAUGGUGCCGUGGAGGCUGGAGGCGCGACUGGCGGAGACGGUGCGGGUUCCUUGGCUGGCUCUUCUUCUGCAUCACCGUCGCCAGCGAUGUCGCGCAUGCGCUCAGAAGCAGCAAUCUCCCCAUCUAAGGCCGGCAGCCAAGACCGACUCUGCGCCUAUAAAGUGGCAGUUCAUUGGGCGUGCAGGAAGAAAAUUGAUUUACAGCAGUGUAACCAGUCAGUGAGCUCAUCCAUGAGAGAAUGAAUUCGAUGUAAAGGUGAAAUAUUCAUAUAGAUUAGAUGUAAAAAUCUUGUGUCAAACAGAGAAAUAAACAAAGGUAGCAUAGAUAGCGCUGGUGCAACUUAGUAACUAACAAUAAAGCUGGUCCAUCGGACGAACUACGGACAAAAUUCCAAUAAAUAGCUUUUGCGAGGUGGAGCGGUAUGUACGGAUUCUACUGGUCAUCAGGCAGGAGGUUCCGACUAUCUGCACUCGAGUGCUAUCAC
Molecule: long non-coding RNA, 811 nt
Filed under: Triticum aestivum (bread wheat)
Lineage: Eukaryota; Viridiplantae; Streptophyta; Magnoliopsida; Poales; Poaceae
Description: long non-coding RNA (TAES_LNC021996)
Source: RNAcentral